GAACGAGAAAGUGGAGCAUCCAUGAGUAGAGUGGCGUACGGGUGAGUAACACGUGACUAACCUUCCUUCGAGUGGGGAAUAACCUCGGGAAACCAGGGCUAAUACCGCAUAACAUCACCGGGUGAAACUCCCGAUGAUCAAAGGGGUAAGACGCUUGAAGAGGGGGUCGCGGCUGAUUAGUUAGUUGGCGGGGUAAUGGCCCACCAAGACGAUGAUCAGUAGCCGGCCUGAGAGGGCGCACGGCCACACUGGGACUGAAACACGGCCCAGACUCCUACGGGAGGCAGCAGUGGGGAAUUUUGCGCAAUGGGGGAAACCCUGACGCAGCAACGCCGCGUGGAGGAUGAAGUCCCUUGGGACGUAAACUCCUUUCGACCGGGAAGAUACUGACGGUACCGGAAGAAGAAGCACCGGCUAACUCUGUGCCAGCAGCCGCGGUAAUACAGAGGGUGCGAGCGUUGUUCGGAAUUAUUGGGCGUAAGGGCGCGUAGGCGGCGCGGUAUGUCACCUGUGAAAUCUCCUGGCUCAACUGGGAGCUUGCAGGCGAAACUGCCGUGCUGGAGUGUGGGAGAGGUGCGUGGAAUUCCUGGUGUAGCGGUGAAAUGCGUAGAUAUCAGGAGGAACACCUGUGGCGAAAGCGGCGCACUGGACCACAACUGACGCUGAGGCGCGAAAGCUAGGGGAGCAAACAGGAUU
RNAcentral lists this ribosomal RNA (696 nucleotides) under uncultured bacterium. Its description in RNAcentral is "bacterial SSU rRNA". It matches the Rfam family "Bacterial small subunit ribosomal RNA", at positions 64 to 779 of the family's 1533-position model. The record is from RNAcentral.